CAACCCUGGCGACGAGUGGCGAACGGGUGAGUAAUACAUCGGAACAUGUCCAGUAGCGGGGGAUAACCUGUCGAAAGAUAGGCUUAAUACCGCAUACGAUCUACGGAUGAAAGCGGGGGACCGCAAGGCCUCGCACUAUUGGAGUGGCCGAUGUCGGAUUAGCUAGUUGGUGAGGUAAAAGCUCACCAAGGCGACGAUCCGUAGCUGGUCUGAGAGGACGAUCAGCCACACUGGAACUGAGACACGGUCCAGACUCCUACGGGAGGCAGCAGUGGGGAAUUUUGGACAAUGGGCGCAAGCCUGAUCCAGCCAUGCCGCGUGAGUGAAGAAGGCCUUCGGGUUGUAAAGCUCUUUCGGUGAAGACGAAACGGUUAGUGUCAAUAGCACUGACUAAGCGGAUCACAGAAAAGCACCGGCAAUACGUC
RNAcentral lists this ribosomal RNA (425 nucleotides) under uncultured bacterium. RNAcentral's name for it is "bacterial SSU rRNA". It matches the Rfam family "Bacterial small subunit ribosomal RNA", at positions 80 to 505 of the family's 1533-position model. The record is from RNAcentral.